GUUGAACGCUGGCGGCGUGCCUUAUACAUGCAAGUCGAGCGAACAGACGAGGAUCUUGCUCCUCUGACGUUAGCGGCGGACGGGUGAGUAACACGUGGAUAACCUACCUAUAAGACUGGGAUAACUUCGGGAAGCCGGAGCUAAUACCGGAUAAUAUAUUGAACCGCAUGGUUCAAUAGUGAAAGACGGUUUUGCUGUCACUUUUAGAUGUACCCGCGCCGGAUUGGCUAGUUGGUAAGGUAACGGCUUACCAAGGCAACGAUGCGUGGCCGACCUGGGAGGGUGAUAGGCCACCCUGGAACGAGGACAGGGCCCAAACUCCUAGGGGAGGAAGCAGUGGGGAAUUUUCCGCAAUGGGCGAAAGCCUGACGAAGAAAGGCGGCGUGGGUAAUAAGGGUCUUCGGAUCGUAAACCUCUGUUAUUAGGAAAGAACAAAUGUGUAAGUAACUAUGCACGUAUGGACGGUACCUAAGAAGAAGGCCCCGCCUAACUACGU
Molecule: ribosomal RNA, 496 nt
Filed under: uncultured bacterium
Lineage: Bacteria
Description: partial 16S ribosomal RNA
Rfam family: Bacterial small subunit ribosomal RNA
Source: RNAcentral